AUUGAACGCUGGCGGCAUGCCUUACACAUGCAAGUCGAACGGCAGCACGGGUGCUUGCACCUGGUGGCGAGUGGCGAACGGGUGAGUAAUACAUCGGAACAUGUCCUGUAGUGGGGGAUAGCCCGGCGAAAGCCGGAUUAAUACCGCAUACGAUCCACGGAUGAAAGCGGGGGACCUUCGGGCCUCGCGCUAUAGGGUUGGCCGAUGGCGGAUUAGCUAGUUGGUGGGGUAAAGGCCUACCACGGCGACGACCAGUAGCUGGUCUGAGAGGGUGACCAGCAACGGGGGGACUGAGAUACGCGCCAGAGUCCGACGGGAGACAGCAGUGUGGGAUAUUGCACAACGUGCGGAAGCAGGAAGCAGCAACGCCGCGUGCAGGGUGACGGCCUGCGGGAUGGAAACCGCUUUCGCCUGGGACGAAGCGUGAGUGACGGUAAGGUGUAAAGAAGCACCGGCUAGCUACGUG
This 466-nucleotide ribosomal RNA is filed under the name uncultured bacterium. RNAcentral describes it as "partial 16S ribosomal RNA". It matches the Rfam family "Bacterial small subunit ribosomal RNA", at positions 29 to 507 of the family's 1533-position model. The record is from RNAcentral.